GACGAACGCUGGCGGCGUGCUUAACACAUGCAAGUCGAACGGAAAGGCCCUGCUUUUGUGGGGUGCUCGAGUGGCGAACGGGUGAGUAACACGUGAGUAACCUGCCCUUGACUUUGGGAUAACUUCAGGAAACUGGGGCUAAUACCGGAUAGGAGCUCCUGCUGCAUGGUGGGGGUUGGAAAGUUUCGGCGGUUGGGGAUGGACUCGCGGCUUAUCAGCUUGUUGGUGGGGUAGUGGCUUACCAAGGCUUUGACGGGUAGCCGGCCUGAGAGGGUGACCGGCCACAUUGGGACUGAGAUACGGCCCAGACUCCUACGGGAGGCAGCAGUGGGGAAUAUUGCACAAUGGGCGGAAGCCUGAUGCAGCAACGCCGCGUGCGGGAUGACGGCCUUCGGGUUGUAAACCGCUUUCGCCUGUGACGAAGCGUGAGUGACGGUAAUGGGUAAAGAAGCACCGGCUAACUACGUGCCAGCAGCCGCGGUGAUACGUAGGGUGCGAGCGUUGUCCGGAUUUAUUGGGCGUAAAGGGCUCGUAGGUGGUUGAUCGCGUCGGAAGUGUAAUCUUGGGGCUUAACCCUGAGCGUGCUUUCNAUACGGGUUGACUUGAGGAAGGUAGGGGAGAAUGGAAUUCCUGGUGGAGCGGUGGAAUGCGCAGAUAUCAGGAGGAACACCAGUGGCGAAGGCGGUUCUCUGGGCCUUUCCUGACGCUGAGGAGCGAAAGCGUGGGGAGCGAACAGGCUUAGAUACCCUGGUAGUCCACGCUGUAAACGGUGGGUACUAGGUGUGGGGUCCAUUCCACGGGUUCCGUGCCGUAGCUAACGCUUUAAGUACCCCGCCUGGGGAGUACGGCCGCAAGGCUAAAACUCAAAGGAAUUGACGGGGCCCCGCACAAGCGGCGGAGCAUGCGGAUUAAUUCGAUGCAACGCGUAGAACCUUACCUGGGUUUGACAUGGAUCGGGAGUGCUCAGAGAUGGGUGUGCCUCUUUUGGGGUCGGUUCACAGGUGGUGCAUGGCUGUCGUCAGCUCGUGUCGUGAGAUGUUGGGUUAAGUCCCGCAACGAGCGCAACCCUUGUUCACUGUUGCCAGCACGUUAUGGUGGGGACUCAGUGGAGACCGCCGGGGUCAACUCGGAGGAAGGUGGGGAUGACGUCAAGUCAUCAUGCCCCUUAUGUCCAGGGCUUCACGCAUGCUACAAUGGCUGGUACAGAGAGUGGCGAGCCUGUGAGGGUGAGCGAAUCUCGGAAAGCCGGUCUCAGUUCGGAUUGGGGUCUGCAACUCGACCUCAUGAAGUCGGAGUCGCUAGUAAUCGCAGAUCAGCAACGCUGCGGUGAAUACGUUCCCGGGGCU
Molecule: ribosomal RNA, 1346 nt
Filed under: uncultured bacterium
Lineage: Bacteria
Description: partial 16S ribosomal RNA
Rfam family: Bacterial small subunit ribosomal RNA
Source: RNAcentral